This is a long non-coding RNA of Oreochromis aureus, 513 nucleotides long. RefSeq lists it as uncharacterized. NCBI's taxonomy places the organism in Eukaryota, Metazoa, Chordata, Actinopteri, Cichliformes, Cichlidae. The record is from RefSeq and is a predicted model, not a curated record. The transcript has 2 exons.
UAUUAUUAUUAUUAUUAUUAUUAUUAUUAUUAUUAUUAUUAUUAUUAUUAUUAUUUAGGGGCUGUGUCGUCUACUGUUCGGUCCACAGUUGAAUGUGUAGUGUGUGUUUGCGUGUGGGUUUGCUUCUCCCUCUCUCUCUCCCUGGUCCUCGGGCUGUUCACAGAAGUGCACGCCGUGGGAGGGGCGUGUCCUGGCGACUGUCGUCAUUGGGAGUCCCUCUUCACUGUUACCGGCCCCCCCUGCAGCUGAUUACCUGACCAGCUGUUGGUAAUCAUCCCUCCCUGCUGGAGAGAGGUAUUUAACCUGGACUCGCGGCGACAGUCGACGUGGGAUUAUUACUCCGAACUGGAUAGCCGAGCGGAGAAGCGAGUUGGGGAGCACACGCACUAAGGGAGCUACAGCACGGGACGCACUGGGAGCAGGAGACGAGCACCAUUGGAAUAUUGCACCUUUGAGUUUAUUGUUGGACUUACCUGUCUGGUCACUGUAAAUAAAGUGCACUGUGGCAUCGAA